GACGAACGCUGGCGGCGUGCUUAACACAUGCAAGUCGAACGGAAAGGCCCUGCUUUUGUGGGGUGCUCGAGUGGCGAACGGGUGAGUAACACGUGAGUAACCUGCCCUGGACUUUGGGAUAACUUCAGGAAACUGGGGCUAAUACCGGAUAGGAGCUCCUGUUGCAUGGUGGGGGUUGGAAAGUUUCGGCGGUUGGGGAUGGACUCGCGGCUUAUCAGCUUGUUGGUGGGGUAGUGGCUUACCAAGGCUUUGACGGGUAGCCGGCCUGAGAGGGUGACCGGCCACAUUGGGACUGAGAUACGGCCCAGACUCCUACGGGAGGCAGCAGUGGGGAAUAUUGCACAAUGGGCGGAAGCCUGAUGCAGCAACGCCGCGUGCGGGAUGACGGCCUUCGGGGUGUAAACCGCUUUCGCCUGUGACGAAGCGUGAGUGACGGUAAUUGGUAAAGAAGCACCGGCUAACUACGUG
This 468-nucleotide ribosomal RNA is filed under the name uncultured bacterium. RNAcentral describes it as "partial 16S ribosomal RNA". It matches the Rfam family "Bacterial small subunit ribosomal RNA", at positions 28 to 507 of the family's 1533-position model. The record is from RNAcentral.